UCAAAGAUUCAUCUGCUUCUGCCUCCCAAAUACUAGCAAUAAAAGGUUUGUGCCACCACACAGGACUUUAAUUUUCUUUUCUUUUCUUUCUUUCUUUUUUUUAUUUUAAAUAAAGUGGAAAUUAGAAUAUUGAGACCAGUGAAGGGGUUUGUGUUGGCGCUUUGUUUAACUCAAACAGUAUGCAUUAUAUCCCACUGUCAUCUGGGGUUUUGUGUAUUGCUGCUGAGUUUUUUGUCUUGUUGCUCAAGCAGUUGUGAGUUCUUACUUUGAAGUAUGUGAUUUUAGGUGCACUUUUCCACUUGACGUAAAAUCCGGGAGCAGUCAGUCCUCUCUGUCACUUAGUGUUAGCACUAGACAGUGAGGACACAGAGUACUUCAACUUUAAACAGCUUUUUUAUUAUCUUGUGUUUGAGUGUGAUAUGUGGGCGUGAAGACAUGCAUGCCAUAGCACCCAUGUCGAGGUCAGAGGACAGCCUGUGGAUGUCACUCCACCCUUUCCUCACUUUUUAUUUCUUACUUGAAGUGUGUGUACGUUUUUCCUCUGUGUUCUAGGAAAGGUGCCACAGUUCUUAAUGCAGUAUAACUUAAGCUCAUUGAAAUUACUGUAUUUUUCUUUGUCUUUAUAGUUAUAAGACAAGGUCUUAUCCCAGGCUGGCCUGCAAUACUGUGGAACUAGUGUUAGCCCUAAACUCCCAAUCCUCCUGCUUCAGUCUCCUGACUGCUGGAAUUACAUGUGUACCGCCACUCACCCUCUCUCUGUAUUGCUGUGUAGCCAAGGUGGGCUUUAAAUAAACUUGGUGUUUUUCUACCUCAGUUUACCAAGUGUUGGGUUACUGGGCCCACCAAUAGCAUUUUUUUACCUCUCUCUGUAUUGCUGUGUAGCCAAGGUGGGCUUUAAAUAAACUUGGUGUUUUUCUACCUCAGUUUACCAAGUGUUGGGUUACUGGGCCCACCAAUAGCAUUUUUCUACUAGAAGAAAAAAUCUCUGAGGUGUAGGGUGAGAGAUUUGAGUCCAUGUUGACUUCAUUUAUAUCGUACUCUGUGUUUUCCUUGGGGUAAUUUUGAAUUCUGAGAAAAGUAGCUUUUCCCAACAGUGCAGGUCAUGUUUUAGAUAUAGAACCUUACUCUGUGCCAGGUCGUUUGGGACUAAAAGGCUUUCCUGGUUCAUUGGCUUGUUUGUUUUUAAGACAAGGUCUCACUAUGUAGCUUGAGCUGGUCUGGAGCUCAGAGAUCACCUGCCUGACUCUGCCUCUGCCUCUGCCUCCAUCCACUUUGGGAUGUAGUCCUUACUGUCCUGAAACUCAAUAUGUGGACCAGACUGGCCUCAAAUUUACAGAGACCCGCCUCCUACUGGCUACCGAGUCACUUACUAACUGCAUGUAGCUUGGUGAUGGCGCAGGCCUGUAAUCAAGGCCCCAGGGAGAUAGCCAGGUGGUAAAGGUGCUUCACGCCAAGCGUGAUGACUUGAAUUCCGUCCCUGGAAUGGUGGAAGAAGAGAGCUAACUUCUGUAAGCUGUCCUCUGGCCUCCACAUAAGGUCACUGUGUCACAUAUGUGUAUACAUACACACAAAGUAAAUAAAUAAAUGUAAUGAAAACAUUUUUAAGGGACUAGAGAGAUAGCAGUUAAUGAGUGCUUGCUACUCUUGUAGAGGCCACAACUAACUGCUUGUGACUACAGGUCGAGGGGAUCUAACAACUUCUUUUGGCCUCCCUGGGCACCCACAUCUGUACAUAUAAACAAAAUACUUGAAAAUAUUUUAAUGAAUUCAUAAUUCUGUAAUUCAGUAAAUGUCUACCAUAGACUGGAAAUUUUGGUCACCAAGUGUACUGGCUAGUUUUGUGUCAACUUGACACAGCUGGAGUUAUCACAGAGAAAGGAACUUCAGUUGAGGAAAUGCCUCCAUGAAAUCCAACUGUAAGGCAUUUUCUCAAUUAGUGAUCAAGGGGGAAAGGCCCCUUGUGGGUGGGACCAUCUCUGGGCUGGUAGUCUUGGUUCUAUAAGAGAGCAGGCUGAGCAAGCCAGGGGAAGCAAGCCAGUAAAGAACAUCCCUCCAUGGCCUCUGCAUCAGCUCCUGCUUCCUGACCUGCUUGAGUUCCAGUCUUGACUUUCUUUGGUGAUGAACAGCAGUGUGGAAGUGUAAGCCGAAUAAACCCUUUCCUCCCCAACUUGCUUCUUGGUCAUGAUGUUUGUGCAGGAAUAGAAACCCUGACUAAGACACCAAGGGUUGAAAGACCCAUUAGUUAUAUCUUCAGCAAUGUCAUGUUAAAAAUACACUUUAAAGCUGGGUAUAGUGGCACCCACGAGGCAGAAGCAAUGGAUCUGUGAGUUCAAGACCAACCUGGUCUUCAAUGUGAAUUCCAGGACAGCCAGACCUACAUAGUGAGACUCAAUGAGAUAUAAUUUAAUUACUAAGACAGGUACGGUGGUGCAUACCUACAGUCCUAGCACAUGGAAGCUGCUGAGGGGAGCUCAUGGUCGUCCUUCACUACAGAGAAGCGUCUUUAAAAGAAAAUGUAAAUGCAAUUAUUAACCCACUAGCUACAGUUCUCUAAACAUCACCCUGGUUCCCUAAUUUUUUAGAAUUUAAAAAAUACCCGGGCUUGAUGGCGCACGCCUUUAAUCCCAGCACUAGGGAGGCAGAGGCAGGCAGAUUUCUGAGUUCGAGGCCAGCCUGGUCUACAAAGUGAGUUUCAGGACAGCCAGGGCUACACAGAGAAACCCUGUCUCAAAAAACAAAACAAAAAAAAAUUAAAAAAUAUAUAAUUAUUUUUGAAAUACAGUUAUAGACAUUCACUUAAAUUGUCUAGUAGAAAUAUUUUAGAAGUAAUUAACUGGGUGUAUUGGUGCAUGCUAUGCUGUGUAGGUUUUUGUAAACUUGGGUCAUUUAAGAAGAGAAACCUCAUCUGAGAAAAUGUCUUUAUCACUCUGGCGUGUAGGUAAAUCUGUAGAAUAUCUUGGCUAAUGAGUGAUUUAGGAGGGUCCGGCCCACUGUGAGCCCCUGGGACUUCCUUUGAGCAAGCCAUGCAAGUCAAUAAGCAGUUCUCUUCUACAGUCUCUUCAGUUCCUGCCCGGACUUCUCUCAGUGAUGGGCUACAGCUGUAGGCUGUAAUAAAUCUCACCAGGCUGCUUUUGAUCAUAUCUUAUCACAGCAGGGGAAGCAAACCAGGAUGCAUGCCUAUAAUCUUAGCACCUGGGAGGCAGAAGCAGGAGAAGCACCUCAUUUAAAGCCAUACUCUCAAUAAUGAGACCAUAUGU
RNAcentral lists this long non-coding RNA (3257 nucleotides) under Mus musculus (house mouse). RNAcentral's name for it is "long non-coding RNA chr9:103338531-103341788". Lineage: Eukaryota; Metazoa; Chordata; Mammalia; Rodentia; Muridae. The record is from RNAcentral.